Long non-coding RNA from Octopus bimaculoides (California two-spot octopus), 1251 nucleotides. The record is from RefSeq and is a predicted model, not a curated record. NCBI's taxonomy places the organism in Eukaryota, Metazoa, Mollusca, Cephalopoda, Octopoda, Octopodidae.
CCGCUGUAUUUUUUCCUUAAUUUUCUACAUCUUCGCUUAAUAUCUCAUUAUCUCACGCCUAUUAUUUACCCUUUCUAUUUUAAUAUAUACAGGUGUGUGUAUGUGUCUCUCUCUGCCCUGCUCUCUCCACGCACACGCAUAUAUAUGUAGAGGAUGUUCGAGUUAAAUUUAAUUAUUCUGAUGUCCCCAUUUUUCAGUAACAGCUUUCUGUUUUGGUGAACAGUAAACAGCGUUGGAGAGCAUAAAGAUUAAAGUUGUAGUUGAGAAAAAGCUGACACAAAGGAAUGAAAUCUAUCUGAAUAGCGUCUAUUUUGAGUAAAAUGUUAUCUCCUCGUCACAAUCUAGUUGAUAUUUUUUGAUUUUAAAAAUAUUUUCGGAUACAAACCAUCAAAUUUUGCCCAAACACACUGUAUGUAUAUUUGCAUGUAUGCAUACAUACAUACACACAUACAUACGUACAUACAUACGUACACACACACAAACGUACAUACAUACAUACAUACAUACCUAUGUACAUAGACAUGCAGGAAAAGCCGUAAAAUGUGACAACCAAUGCAGGCUUUGUGGAGUUCACACUGAAUAUAUCACGCACAUCUUUAACAGUUCUCCGAAAAAGUUAUCACACUAUUAUCUAGCGAUGAAACAUGAUGUUGUAGCUAGGACACUCUAUAAUGAAAUCCGUCGGAAGGAUAAUCCCGAGACCAAAGAAAUAAGAACUCACAAUAUGGUGUAAGCAACAACCACUCAUAAUAAAAAGGAAUACUGGUGGAAUGUACCAGAGAAGAUCUCAAUAAAAUGCUGGGCAUAUCUCGGAACACAUUCUCCAAUGCGUCAUCACCUUUUUCAAGACGGUUAGGUAUACUUCAACGGUAAUUUAUCACAUUUGUAAUGCGUCAACCAACGAGGGCAAGCCAUCUGACUGGGGCCAUGCAGGACACCAAUUCAUUCGAAGGAAUCGACACCUGAACUUAUUCUUUGUAAGCCUGGUACCCAUUCUAUCGGUGUCUUUUGCCAAAACGCUAGAUUACGGAGAGGUAAACACAUCAACAUUGGUUGUUAAGCGAUGGUGGGGAGGACUACACAAACUCGGACACACACAUAAAUAUAUACAUAUAUAUAUACUACACGAUUCUUUCAGUUUCCGCCUACCGAAUCCACUCACAAAGCCUUGGUUGGCUCGUGGCCCAAGGUAUCACGCCGUGGGACUGAACCCUGAGCCAUGUGGGUGGCAAGCAAGCUUCUUACCACAUA